This 558-nucleotide ribosomal RNA is filed under the name uncultured bacterium. Its description in RNAcentral is "partial 16S ribosomal RNA". It matches the Rfam family "Bacterial small subunit ribosomal RNA", at positions 356 to 904 of the family's 1533-position model. The record is from RNAcentral.
AGGGAAUCUUCCACAAUGGACGCAAGUCUGAUGGAGCAACGCCGCGUGAGUGAAGAAGGUUUUCGGACCGUAAAGCUCUGUUGUUGGUGAAGAAGGAUAGAGGUAGUAACUGGCCUUUAUUUGACGGUAAUCAACCAGAAAGUCACGGCUAACUACGUGCCAGCAGCCGCGGUAAAUCGUAGGUGGCAAGCGUUGUCCGGAUUUAUUGGGCGUAAAGCGAGCGCAGGCGGAAGAAUAAGUCUGAUGUGAAAGCCCUCGGCUUAACCGAGGAAUUGCAUCGGAAACUGUUUUUCUUGAGUGCAGAAGAGGAGAGUAGAACUCCAUGUGUAGCGGUGGAAUGCGUAGAUAUAUGGAAGAAUACCAGUGGCGAAGGCGGCUCUCUGGUCUGCAACUGACGCUGAGGCUCGAAAGCAUGGGUAGCGAACAGGAUUAGAUACCCUGGUAGUCCAUGCCGUAAACGAUGAGUGCUAAGUGUUGGGAGGCUUCCGCCUCUCAGUGCUGCAGCUAACGCAUUAAGCACUCCGCCUGGGGGAGUACGACCGCAAGGUUGAAACUCUA